CACCGCCCGUCACAUCAUGGAAGUCUGCUGCACCAGAAGUAGGUAGUCUAACCGCAAGGGGGGCGCCUACCACGGUGUGGCCGAUGACUGGGGUG
This 95-nucleotide ribosomal RNA is filed under the name uncultured bacterium. RNAcentral's name for it is "partial 16S ribosomal RNA". It matches the Rfam family "Bacterial small subunit ribosomal RNA", at positions 1388 to 1482 of the family's 1533-position model. The record is from RNAcentral.